AGGGAAUCUUCCGCAAUGGACGAAAGUCUGACGGAGCAACGCCGCGUGAGUGAUGAAGGUUUUCGGAUCGUAAAGCUCUGUUGCCAGGGAAGAACGUCUUCUGGAAUAACUGCCAGGAGAGUGACGGUACCUGAGAAGAAAGCCCCGGCUAACUACGUGCCAGCAGCCGCGGUAAUACGUAGGGGGCAAGCGUUGUCCGGAAUUAUUGGGCGUAAAGCGCGCGCAGGCGGCUGUUAAGUCUGGGGGAUAAUCCUGGGGCUAAACUCCGGGUCGCACUGGAAACUGGACGGCUUGAGUGCAGAAGAGGAGAGUGGAAUUCCACGUGUAGCGGUGAAAUGCGUAGAGAUGUGGAGGAACACCAGUGGCGAAGGCGACUCUCUGGGCUGUAACUGACGCUGAGGCGCGAAAGCGUGGGGAGCAAAC
Molecule: ribosomal RNA, 423 nt
Filed under: uncultured bacterium
Lineage: Bacteria
Description: bacterial SSU rRNA
Rfam family: Bacterial small subunit ribosomal RNA
Source: RNAcentral